GACGAACGCUGGCGGCGUGCUUAACACAUGCAAGUCGAGCGGUAAGGCCCUUUCGGGGGGUACACGAGCGGCGAACGGGUGAGUAACACGUGGGUGACCUGCCCUUAGCUCUGGGAUAAGCCUGGGAAACUGGGUCUAAUACCGGAUAUGACUCCAUGACGCAUGUUGUGGGGUGGAAAGCCUUGUGCGGCUAGGGAUGGGCCCGCGGCCUAUCAGCUUGUUGGUGGGGUGAUGGCCUACCAAGGCGACGACGGGUAGCCGGCCUGAGAGGGCGACCGGCCACACUGGGACUGAGACACGGCCCAGACUCCUACGGGAGGCAGCAGUGGGGAAUCUUGCGCAAUGGGCGAAAGCCUGACGCAGCGACGCCGCGUGGGGAUGACGGCCUGGU
Molecule: ribosomal RNA, 391 nt
Filed under: uncultured bacterium
Lineage: Bacteria
Description: bacterial SSU rRNA
Rfam family: Bacterial small subunit ribosomal RNA
Source: RNAcentral